UAGGAUGUAAUCUGUGCUGAGUCUCUAGGA
Molecule: non-coding RNA, 30 nt
Filed under: Mus musculus (house mouse)
Lineage: Eukaryota; Metazoa; Chordata; Mammalia; Rodentia; Muridae
Source: RNAcentral